CCACUUAUUGCAUGCGCAGACACCAAGGAAGAUUCAUUUUUAUUGCGUGCGCAGACACCAGAGAAGAUUCAUUUUUUCAACAAUACCACAGCAGUACAAUCCUAAAUUGUGUUCCCGUCAUUUUACUGAUGACUGCUUCUCAAACCGCAGGGAGUUUAACACAGGAUUCACAAAUUGCUUGGUCUUAAAAUAUGGAUCAAUGCCCAGUUUAUUUGGACCUGCUUGCUCCUCUGAAUCUCAACCUGUGGCAGUAGCUGAACAGCCAAUCAGAAUGAUCAGAUGGCCAGAUGGACCGACGAGCUCCGCACGUGAUUAAGUUACCCGUUAUGCUUUCUCCAAUGUGAGGAAUUACCAACUCCCACUCUAUCCCACCCGGUAUCUUCAUCAUCAUCACUGUUUCUGAACAAUACUAAUGACUGUAUGGACUGUCUUACUCACCGUCAUUCCGUUGAGAUCCUUACCACCUCCAUCACCCCAGAGCUCAUCCAGUCCUCCAGCCACGCCGCUGCCAGAUGUCCACAGCCCUGCGGCAUCUCCGUGGAAGCCCCGCUCAGUUAGAAGACUCCCUUUGGGUGGUGUCUCUUCAAGAUAUCUGAUAACCCAGUCCUCUCCCCCCAAAACAGGUGUUGGUGUAGUAAAUAUUUACAAUCCUUUUGGGUAACACUUUAGAAUACUGUUUCUUACUUACUGUAUGACUAAUAAGGAAUUACUGAAGAACUAAUUGUUAAUUCUUCAUUAACACUUAAGUCACUACUGUUGACUACUAAGGAAGAUGUGUUAACUAAUCAGUAUGUAAUAGAAUUUUAUGAUUUUGUUAAGUAACAGUUAGCUAAUCAAUAACUAAUGAAUUCUGUCAUACCUCCUGAAGAACUACUAUUAAUUAUCUAUUAAGGUUCAAGAAAAAUAACUAUGUAGCACCCCAUUGAAACAUGGUGGAUGAGAACUGGAUUCUGUAACCUUUUCUAUAAUGUGCAGGACCCAUUGAGAUAUAUCUGCCAGAAAAUCUACUAAGGGUACCAGCCUCUCAAGGUUGGCCUCUGGUGUACUCAGAGCAGCCACUUCAGUGACCUGAAGCGAACUGGCAGGAAACACCCAAAUUGACUGCUUUUUGACCCUCCUCAGAGGGUGCACCGCUGACGCAGUUUCUUGUGUUUGACUUUGAGUCAGAGGUUCAGAGGGUGCACAGAGGGUGGCGGGGUUGGCAGAACGGCCCCCGAGGGCACCGUAUAAUGAGGUGUACACCACUCCACCCUAGAGGGGGCUGCCCUCAGAAGUCUGACACUGAUGGCGUCAGGACUUCUUUUAAGCCGAAGCCUUCUUCGCGAGAAGAACGUUCCACAGAUCCGUCUUCUGCUUAGGAAGCUUCUGCGGAGAGUGUCGUCCUGUGCCCCACGGUUUUUAAGGGGGGGCACGAUUUUGGUGAGCCCUGUGUGAGGAGCUAUAUGGCUGGGGCUGCUCAUGCCCAGUAGCCCCAGAGGGUUGGGGACGGUUGAACGCUUCCGCCUGUUUACUGAAACCUCUCGACAAAAUUAUUUACUGCGUCGCCGAAAAGGCCAGGUGGUGAAAGCAGAGCAUCAAGGAGAAUAUACUUGUCUUUAUCCUUAAUAUCUGACAGGUUCAGCCAGAGAUGCCUCACAGUGGCCACUAGGGCUGCCAUAGACCGCCCAAUAGCUCUAGCGGUCUCCUUUGUAGCACUGAGAGACAAAUCUGUAGCCUGACGCAGUUCUCAAAUCAUGUCAGGCCCCACCCCUCGCCAUCAUCCAAGUCCCUCAGCGGGUUAGCCUGAUACGCCUGCAAGAUAGACAUAGUAUGCAUAGUGUGGCAGACCUACCGCCGUAUACGCUUUACCCACUAGCGUUGAUGUUUUUAGAGGCUUAGUGGGAAGCAUCAGGACCUUCAGGGAUGAUCCUGAACUAGGUGAAAGAUAGCUAGCAAGCCUCUGCUCAAUCCUAGGCAACGACCCAUAACUGUUCUCUUUCAACCCCCUUAUAUCUGAAUAUAUUUGCACUUGGGGGCUGAAAACACAUGAUGAGAAAGUUUUAUUCCAUGAUCUAAAUAUUCCACUGUGUAAAUCUGGGGAAAAGGGAAGGCCCUGUGGUGGAGGUGUAGUGCUUGGUGACAAGAAAUGCUCAUCUAGUUUGCUUUUUGAAUGAGCGCCAAUAUUCUCGGCUGGCCAUUCAAUAUUUAACUUAGACACAGCGUGAGUAAUCACCUUCACCAGCUCCUCAUACACUGGUCCUCAAUUCUCAUAAUAUAUAACCCCUCAUAGUCAGAUAAACGAAGUACCUGGCUCUCCCCCUGGGCGGAAGAAGCUGCAGAGCAGGCUCCAAUUCCAGCGAGAGAGUGUUGGAUCCCGUGGGUAAAGGUAGAGAAAAGGCAGAGCCCGUCGCUAACCCCUCCGCGAGAUCCUUUUGAAAAAACCCCACAAUCUCAGCUUCCGUGCUGCCUUGGCAGCAGCAGGGCCAGAACCGUGAGGAACACUAACCUGAAUACCCUCCUCAAAGAGUGACAGGUGGGAGCGGAGUGUGUGAAGCGGCAGCCUCUCACAAUGCUCACAGUCAGCCCCCUCAAAGGCUGACAGGGCAUGGUCCACUCCCAAACACAUAACACACAAGUCGUGUGUAUCCCCACGCAUUAGGAAACAAGGGCAGGGAGGAACACACUGCUUGAAUGUUUGCUUAUUCGCCAUUCUUACAAAUCUGAUUGUGCUGUACUAGAUCGGGACAGAAAACAAUAAAUAAGACAAACAGUAUGACACAGAACGCUUACUGAGGCACAGAAGCUAAUGCGAGCUAUUCCGGGCUAUUCCGGAAGUGCUUUUAUGCUUUCCUGGUCAUGACCUCACUGGAUGACCUCACUGGUUCACUCUCGCCAUUAGACUAGUUGACACACGUGCUUCAGGCGCAAUAACGCAGAUGCGUUCCCAAAGCGUCAUCGUUGCAGCGCGAAUUCCUUCGAAAGGGAACUGAAUGUUUUCAAUACACUCCAAUGGCUCAUAGCCCCAAUAUCUCAGAACAAUAAUACAAUAUGCGAGCAACUAUGAGGUUGAACAAAUACAAAGCUUGAUUACAGCUAAUUUUAUGCUUACGGAUAAACCUUAGUAAAGAAAGCAUUGCUUUCUUAUCUUGGCUUGCUAAAUGUUGUCUGCGUUCCACCAUGACAGUUUUGGUGUAAACCACAUAUAACAAUUAACCACUUCAAUCUGCUCACCAGCAAAAUUUUCAUUCUUAUUUAAAGAGUCCCCUCUUCUAAAAACCGUAACUUUUGUUUUACUCAAAUCCACCAAUACCGUAAAGGCUAACAAAUAUUUCCCGCUGUUCAAUUUCCUUCUGUAACCCUCCAAUUGUAUCUGAUAUAUUAGCCAUAUCAUCAGCGUAUAACAAGGUGUCACAGAUGGUGUUGGGUUUUGUUUAAUGUUUAUAGUUUCAUGUCUCUUAUUUUGUAAUGUUCUUUGCUAUGUUAGUGGUUUGCCAUGUGCUCACUUGCCAUGUGUCUCCCUUGUUUAUGUUCUAGUCAUGUCUCAUUAGGUGUGUUUGACAUAGGCUGCGGCUGGAUAUAACCGAUCGGCGAGAGUAGCCGCGUGCAGGCGGGGAGGAGCUGAAAGCGGAGACGUGAAGUCGGACACUUUCUGCUUCUCGUAGUGACGCUCACGCUACGUUAGCAUACUUUAUCACAGCUGAAGUGAAAAAAAUGCAAUAUUUGACUAAUACACCGAUGUUUCAGAGAGAUUUUCAUUCAAUAAUUUAUGUACUGCUUACAGCAUCUGUUUUUACAAGAAUAAAGUUCAAUAUAAGCAUAUACUAUAUAAAAACUAAUGUAGUUUUAUAAUGUUUACUAAUGUUUUUAAUCAGUAUUAUUUUGAUAAACAUGACACAAUAUAACAUCGCGACUACAUGAAAAGAGCUUUAACUGUUAUAAAAAUACAGAUUUGUGAGCAUUAGUUGAACUAAAGGCGUGACAAUAAACACGAAACACACGUGAUCGUUGUCAUGCGGUGAAUCCGGCCAAUCGUGAAACAGCUGUGUCAUCAUCAGAGCUCGUGCAGCUCCUCUUGAGAAACUGCGUUGGCUGACUCAGGUGGCUGAUCUUGAAUCGCUCUCGCGGUACUUUGAAGCCAUAUGUCACAGUCACAUGACAUCGGCGCUGUCUCAAGUCGGACAAAAAUUUCCUACCGGCAUGCACUGCUUCAAGUCAGCCGCCGAUCGGUCUGUGCGGCGCUGCAUCAAGUCGAACAAGCCUAUUGUUUUGUUCCUGUUUGCCAUGUGCUCCCUUAUCAUGUGUUUCCCUUGCCCUUAUGUGAUCAUGUCAUGUGCUCCCUUGUCAUGUGUCCUAUGUUGUCAUUGGUUCAUUGGGUUGAUUGUUCACAGGUGUCCCUUGUUAGUCAUUAGUCUCUGUGCCUUUAUGCCCUAAUGUUUGCCUUGUUCUUUGACAUGCAUUGUCCUUGUACCACUGGUUGGUGAGUUCCAUGUGUCUUGUUAAGCGAUGCCAUGCCUCUGUGUCUUUUGUUCAUGUUUUGGAUUCAUUUAAAUA
Ctenopharyngodon idella (grass carp) is the source of this 4530-nucleotide long non-coding RNA. RefSeq lists it as uncharacterized. The transcript is spliced from 3 exons. The record is from RefSeq and is a predicted model, not a curated record. Lineage: Eukaryota; Metazoa; Chordata; Actinopteri; Cypriniformes; Xenocyprididae.